UACGGGGGGGGUAAGCGUUGUUCGGAAUUACUGGGCGUAAAGGGCUCGCAGGCGGCCAACUAAGUCAUACGUGAAAUCCCUCAGCUUAACUGGGGAACUGCGUGUGAUACUGGAUGGCUUGGAUUUGGGAGAGGGAUGCGGAAUUCCAGGUGUAGCGGUGAAAUGCGUAGAUAUCGGGAGGAACACCAGUGGCGAAGGCGGCUUUCUGGGCCUUACCUGACGCUGAGACGCGAAAGCGUGGGGAGCGAACCGG
RNAcentral lists this ribosomal RNA (253 nucleotides) under uncultured bacterium. Its description in RNAcentral is "partial 16S ribosomal RNA". It matches the Rfam family "Bacterial small subunit ribosomal RNA", at positions 524 to 776 of the family's 1533-position model. The record is from RNAcentral.